Long non-coding RNA from Phyllopteryx taeniolatus (common seadragon), 2557 nucleotides. RefSeq lists it as uncharacterized. The record is from RefSeq and is a predicted model, not a curated record. The transcript is spliced from 3 exons. NCBI's taxonomy places the organism in Eukaryota, Metazoa, Chordata, Actinopteri, Syngnathiformes, Syngnathidae.
AAUAAAGUUCCUCCCGGAAACGUCUUUGCUCCGCCGGAACCAAUGUUUCACACGCACAUUUAUUGCCGAUGGACGCAGUGUUGAGGCACUGAUAAACUUUGCCAAAAACGAGACAGGAGCUUCUCGGCGUAUAAACAUGCGCGGCAAGCUGCAUGCUCGGCCGACUAUUUCGUUGCCAUCUCCACGGUGGAGGCGUCGUUGCCGCCGUUGACGUCGUAGUCGUCCACGGGGCCACUCACCAGCACCCGGAUGCGUUCGGGGAAGUUGUCAAACUUGGGCGACAAGAGGAAGUCGUACACGAGGGCCGCCGCCACGCCGCCACACAUGGGUCCCACCCAGUACACCUGCAGUGGAUUCGCUGGGGCACAAGGAUAGUCAUCAAGGAGUAUCUGUGGGCUGAACUCCACGAUGGAAAGCCGCAGCAGAGAUUUGAACACGCAACUUCCAGGCUGUGCCACAGUUUGGUCGUAUUUCUGAAAAGGUUUGAGAAACAAUGAGCUUGACAACCACACGGACAAGAAACAAAAGUAGCUGUCAAAACCCUCAAACAGUCCAUGUAUUUUGAUUCUGAUUUGCAUAUUAUGUUAGAACACUGUGUUUAAUGUGUCACCUGCAAAAUAUCCUAAAAGCAGUUUUUAAAACAGGGAUUAACAUACAAAAAAAAUCUUAAGUGUAGACACAUCUAGGAGUCUAAUGGAAAAAUACACGUAUACCGAGCGUGUUUACAUAUCUUUUUUGCCAUUUUUUUUGAUAUCAUUUGGAGGGUGAGGGAGAUCGAUCAGCAUGGUAUUGAACAUUGUUGACACUUCGUACGUUAUCAUUAAAACGAGUCAAACUUUCAACAUCGAAAUGCUUCGCAAUAAAGUGAUUCUAACAAAGCUCAGCAAAUUGCACGAUCACGAUCCUCAUUUGAGCACUCAAUGUGUUGAGAAAUUUAGCCUCCAAGCAAAUUCCUACAUGAUAUGCUGUGUUUACAUGGAUAACCUCUCCCUAAUUGAAUCGGAGGGAAAAAGUGAUUGACGCGUUGUCUUUGCGAGGCAUAAAAGAUGAUUAGUAAAUUACUAGCGACCGUCUGUAUGGGGCAAUUAGGAGUUUUGCAUCCAUGCAAUUACAUGCGCGGUGCUUAUCCGCAUACAAAUGCUUGUCUUGGGGAUUUCAAGGGCAAUACAAGCAGCGGACCGGAUACGAAUAAUCCUCCUAAACGUGUGAGUAAACAGUUGAUAAGACGGUGUUGUACACGUCAGCUGAUCCAUGCAGGGCAAAUCGAUGAUAACAUAUUUCAUUACCAUGCCAGGAUGUUAUUAGAAAAUUCUCCACAGGCAAAUGCACCUCAGCUGGCAACGUGACGCGUCGUAUGCCAUGCCUUUGUGUAAAAAAAAAAAAAAGGAUCCGAUCAUUGGAACAUAUGUCGGAACUAACGUGCGUGGCCGUUACGCGGGGCCGCUCACCAAAACGCAGUGCGAUGAAAAGGGGGGAACACAAGGAAGAGUGGAAAGGGUGGUCUGAGAAUAACUUUGUAUUGAUUCAAGCUUUUACCUUGUUUCAGUUAAGCCACGUUUGCCUGUUGAUUUGAUGUUGGAUAGCAUCCAGAAUAUAUGCACAUGACCCCUUUGCCUUUCCAACACUGACACUUUUUGCGUCAGCUAAUCUCCCAAAAGUGAUUUGGAGAAGGAGAUGUUGUUUCACAACUUGACAAACAAAAUAGAUAUUUUUUUUUUUUGGGGCAUUUUUUUUUUAAAUUUGAAAUAGCAAGAAGCAAAAAAUACUUUGUGAACAUUGACGUCGAGAAGCAUGUGUUUUUUUCUGAUGAAAUUGGGCAAAUAAUGGGUGGUAUAGGAAAUGGAUGAUUGUUGGAAAAAUGCAUACAGGAGAGCUUUGAUGGUCUGCCAGGUCUUCACAAAAAGAGUCCUUAUUUUAAAGGUCAAGAACAUCAGUUGGAAAAUAAAGGGAAACCUUGAGCUGCCUUAGAAAAAUAGCAAAAACUCUCAAAUAAUGGACACCCGCCCCAAAAAAAACAAAUGUUUAUCAUUUACUAUAUGAAUAGUUUAAACCCUAAAUAUACUCCACGUUAUGUUCCCAAACACUGUAAAAUCAUUUCACAUUUAUCUUACUUUUAACUAACUAAUUACUCUUUAACUAAUGGCUCAUAGAUUAUUUGAAUUCGAGAAAAAAAAAUACACCCCAACAGCGAGGACGAGGGUGUGUAUGUCACAACCAAUAACCAAUUACUACUUUCCUAUUAGCCAUUUUACUACGUUUUUGACUCAGUGAUACAGACAAUAUAGACUCUCAUUUUGAAAAUACAUACUGUAUACUGUAAACGAUUCCAUGUAUUCAUUUCUGCACUUUCUGUGGCUUGUGUUGAGCAGCUUGUCGUGACUAACUAGCCAACCCAAACCCAGCUUUGCAUUUGCUUUGGUUACGGUUACGCCAACAAGUAGAAAUAUAGUCUUCAGAGAGCCAAACCUAAAUCUGAAACGGAGCGUCGACUUUAAGCGCUAUUUAUUGUUUGAGUAAGGAAUAUUAAUAGGACACACAGGGGCAACAAAACACACCU